RNAcentral lists this ribosomal RNA (949 nucleotides) under uncultured bacterium. Its description in RNAcentral is "bacterial SSU rRNA". It matches the Rfam family "Bacterial small subunit ribosomal RNA", at positions 1 to 917 of the family's 1533-position model. The record is from RNAcentral. RNAcentral also lists the same sequence under 1 other name.
GAUCCAGACUUUGAUUAUGGCUCAGGAUGAACGCUGGCGGCGUGCCUAAUACGUGCAAGUCGAACGAAACUUCUUUAUCACCGAGUGCUUGCACUCACCGAUAAAGAGUUGAGUGGCGAACGGGUGAGUAACACGUGGGCAACCUGCCCGAAAGAGGGGGAUAACACUUGGAAACAGGUGCUAAUACCGCAUAACCAUGAAUACCGCAUGAUAUUUAUGUGAAAGGUGGUUUCGGCUACCGCUUUCGGAUGGGCCCGCGGCGCAUUAGCUAGUUGGUGGGGUAAAGGCUUACCAAGGCAAUGAUGCGUAGCCGAACUGAGAGGUUGAUCGGCCACAUUGGGACUGAGACACGGCCCAAACUCCUACGGGAGGCAGCAGUAGGGAAUCUUCCACAAUGGGCGAAAGCCUGAUGGAGCAACGCCGCGUGGGUGAAGAAGGUCUUCGGAUCGUAAGACCCUGUUGUCAGAGAAGAAAGUGCAUGAGAGUAACUGUUCAUGUUUCGACGGUAUCUGACCAGAAAGCCACGGCUAACUACGUGCCAGCAGCCGCGGUAAUACGUAGGUGGCAAGCGUUAUCCGGACUUAUUGGGCGUAAAGGGAACGCAGGCGGUCUUUUAAGUCUGAUGUGAAAGCCUUCGGCUUAACCGGAGUAGUGCAUUGGAAACUGGGAGACUUGAGUGCAGAAGAGGAGAGUGGGACUCCAUGUGUAGCGGUGAAAUGCGUAGAUAUAUGGAAGAACACCAGUGGCGAAAGCGGCUCUCUGGUCUGUAACUGACGCUGAGGUUCGAAAGCGUGGGUAGCAAACAGGAUUAGAUACCCUGGUAGUCCACGCCGUAAACGAUGAAUGCUAAGUGUUGGAGGGUUUCCGCCCUUCAGUGCUGCAGUUAACACAAUAAGCAUUCCGCCUGGGGAGUACGACCGCAAGGUUGCAACUCAAAUGAAUUGACGGA